UACGUAGGGGGCUAGCGUUGUCCGGAAUCAUUGGGCGUAAAGCGCGUGUAGGCGGUCCGGUAAGUCCGCUGUGAAAGUCGAGGGCUCAACCCUCGAAUGCCGGUGGAUACUGUCGGGCUAGAGUACGGAAGAGGCGAGUGGAAUUCCUGGUGUAGCGGUGAAAUGCGCAGAUAUCAGGAGGAACACCGAUGGCGAAGGCAGGUCUCUGGGCCGAUACUGACGCUGAGGAGCGAAAGCGUGGGGAGCGAACAAG
Molecule: ribosomal RNA, 253 nt
Filed under: uncultured bacterium
Lineage: Bacteria
Description: partial 16S ribosomal RNA
Rfam family: Bacterial small subunit ribosomal RNA
Source: RNAcentral